CUGCCCGACUAUCUCAUCCUUAGUACCAUCAUUUUUCAUUAUCAUCUAACCCUCCCCAGGCUGCUUUGCUGUGAAUCUCCAAACCAUGUAUAAAUGCAAGUCUUCUCAACUCUGGAACCUGCCAGACUAUCUCAUCCAUAGUACCAUCAUUUUACUUUACUAUCCGCUGGCAUUUCCCAAUAAUGACCAAAUUCUUUGUUCCCGUGAAUGUCCACUAACGGAAGAUUCUUCAGUAAAUGAAGAGAGGGACUAAAUGUGCAGUGCCUUCGCAGACUGGAACUCUAGACCUUCCGAUGCUAGCUGGAUGUGAUUUUCAUUUGCACCACUUAAACACGAGAAUCAAAAUAUUUGUAUCCAGCACUGGAAAGUACAGCCAUCUCCCGAGCAACCGGGGUACUUUAUGGAUUAAAUUAGUCCUGUCUAAAACGUACAUUAUAUUUGUUUAUUUUGCAGCUGUGAGAAAAUUACAGUACCAGUACAACAGCGUAAAAAUGCCUACGUAAAAUACAAAAACAAAGAGAAAUGUGUGAGUGUUAACAGCAACGAAAGCAAAUGUUUCAAAUCCUUGCAAUCCUAAAAAAAUGUAAACAAACUGUUGAUGGUAUUUUUUAUUAAUCAUAAUAUGGGCUAUUUCUCUUUGUUGUGCUUUUUUAACUGCUUUCGAACUAAUUGCGAUUUGAAAUUAAUCAUGGACGUCAUUCCAGGCAUUAUCUCAGUUAAACGGGAUUUUAGGUACAACGUUAAAUUAAUCGACAAAUAAAGGAAAGAUAAAUAUAACUGGUUUAGAAUUAACAUCCUGUAAUCCAUGACUUAAUUACCUUAUAAUAAUUUCCACGAAAUUAUUUUAAAUAUUAUUAAAAUAAAAGUGAUUAAAUGCAAGUUAACAUUUUUUUAUAUUAUAAGUGAAGAAACCUUUUCACAUAGGUUUAGACAAAGUGGAAUUAUUUAGUUUCUCAUUCUUUUCAUAACGCUUGCUUUAACUUUACUACUUCUCUUGGUCAAAGACUUCAAUAUUUGUGCUGUUUUUAAACUUUUUGUAUUCAUUUAUUUCCAGUUUAUGCACAAUGUUGAUUUCUGUUCCAUCUCGGUAAAAGUUACAAAGAGUCGUGAUUAAAUCUUUCCAGUGAGUAUUUUUAAACCAAAGAGAAAAAUAAAAAUCAUUGCAUUUAAAAAAGAGAAAAACGAAGAAUGUUAACAAGCAUAUAAGCUAGAUUAUAAGUCAUUAGUGCAGGUUCAUGAAAUUCUCUCAAUCAAUCUUUUAUCAGCCUUUGCGGAGAUAAAACUUGAUCUGUAAUUGCAAAUUAAUAAUUAAUAGUCCCAUCCACAGCCGUGACUGGAUAUUUCUUUACCUGAUGCAAACAAGAAAACGUAUGCCCCUGCGCAUCAACAAAUUAAGCAUAGUUUGUAGAUUUUCCGAUCGAAUAAUUUUUUAUUUAAAUUAGAGUAUAAUAAUUUUAACAAUACAUUUAGCAGUAACUUUUCAUAUGCAAUAAAUAAAUUUGUAAAAUUAUUCACAUUUAGGAAAAGAGUGAGAAAUUACUUGUCCUAAUAAUUGGUCAUAACACA
This 1566-nucleotide long non-coding RNA is filed under the name Stegodyphus dumicola. Its description in RNAcentral is "uncharacterized LOC118182258". The record is from RNAcentral. Lineage: Eukaryota; Metazoa; Arthropoda; Arachnida; Araneae; Eresidae.